RNAcentral lists this ribosomal RNA (534 nucleotides) under uncultured bacterium. Its description in RNAcentral is "partial 16S ribosomal RNA". It matches the Rfam family "Bacterial small subunit ribosomal RNA", at positions 355 to 900 of the family's 1533-position model. The record is from RNAcentral.
UGGGGAAUAUUGCACAAUGGGCGAAAGCCUGAUGCAGCGACGCCGCGUGCGGGAUGAAGGCCUUCGGGUUGUAAACCGCUUUUAAUUGGGAGCAAGCGAGAGUGAGUGUACCUUUUGAAUAAGCACCGGCUAACUACGUGCCAGCAGCCGCGGUAAUACGUAGGGUGCAAGCGUUAUCCGGAAUUAUUGGGCGUAAAGAGCUCGUAGGCGGUUUGUCACGCCUGGUGUGAAAGUCCAUCGCUUAACGGUGGAUCUGCGCCGGGUACGGGCAGGCUAGAGUGCAGUAGGGGAGAUUGGAAUUCCCGGUGUAACGGUGGAAUGUGUAGAUAUCGGGAAGAACACCAAUGGCGAAGGCAGAUCUCUGGGCUGUUACUGACGCUGAGGAGCGAAAGCAUGGGGAGCGAACAGGAUUAGAUACCCUGGUAGUCCAUGCCGUAAACGGUGGAUGCUGGAUGUGGGGCCCUUCCACGGGCUCCGUGUCGGAGCUAACGCGUUAAGCAUCCCGCCUGGGGAGUACGGCCGCAAGGCUAAAGC